GGCCGCGGGAAUUCGAUUCAGGCCUAACACAUGCAAGUCGAACGGCAGCACGGACUUCGGUCUGGUGGCGAGUGGCGAACGGGUGAGUAAUAUAUCGGAACAUACCCAGUAGUGGGGGAUAACUAUCCGAAAGGAUAGCUAAUACCGCAUACGAUCUGUGGAUGAAAGCAGGGGAUCUUCGGACCUUGUGCUAUUGGAAUGGCCGAUAUCUGAUUAGCUAGUUGGUAGGGUAAAAGCCUACCAAGGCGACGAUCAGUAGCUGGUCUGAGAGGACGACCAGCCACACUGGAACUGAGACACGGUCCAGACUCCUACGGGAGGCAGCAGUGGGGAAUUUUGGACAAUGGGGGCAACCCUGAUCCAGCAAGGCCGCGUGAGUGAAGAAGGCCCUCGGGUUGUAAAUUUAGGGGUCAGGGAAGAAACGGAGUUCUCUAAUAUAGGAUUCUAAUGACGGUA
This 456-nucleotide ribosomal RNA is filed under the name uncultured bacterium. RNAcentral describes it as "bacterial SSU rRNA". It matches the Rfam family "Bacterial small subunit ribosomal RNA", at positions 39 to 477 of the family's 1533-position model. The record is from RNAcentral.